ACUCUCAGGGCCCCCCUGGAUAAUCCUCACUGUUACACUCAGGCCCCCCGGAUAAUCCUCACCGUUACACUCAGGGCCCCCCUGGAUAAUCCUCGCUGUUACUCUCAGGGCCCCCUGGAUAAUCCUCACUGUUACACUCAGGCCCCCCGGAUAAUCCUCACUGUUACACUCAGGCCCCCCGGAUAAUCCUCACCGUUACACUCAGGGCCCCCCCGGAUAAUCCUCACUGUUACACUCAGGCCCCCGGAUAAUCCUCACUGUUACACUCAGGGCCCCCCGGAUAAUCCUCACUGUUACAC
This 299-nucleotide long non-coding RNA is filed under the name Homo sapiens (human). RNAcentral describes it as "HSALNT0387489". Lineage: Eukaryota; Metazoa; Chordata; Mammalia; Primates; Hominidae. The record is from RNAcentral.